GGCUUGAGGACCGUAUUCAUGGAAGAGGAUUGAACAGUAAAGAGCCCAGGAUUUGAUAAAAAUGAGAAUAUAUCGCCUCAAGCAGAAGCAGAUGAAUAUAUGGGAGAUGAAGUAGACAGUAUGUUGGAUAAAUCUGGAGUAAAGAACCCAGCAAUUGGUGAAGAUGAGAAUAUGUCGCCUCAAGUAAAAGGAGAUGAAGACAUGGGAGAUGAAAUUGACAGUAUGUUGGCUACAUCUGGAGGUCUUUUCUCCUGAGAACACGGGACUCCAGCAUCUUCGGAUUCUGCUCUUGGAGGGGUUUGCCCCACAUCCUCUAUAUUGCAGAAAACAAGACUAGGCUCUACCUCUGUAGAUCAAGCACGACUGAAAUCCGUGCUCUCAAAAGAUGCUGGGGAGAAAGAGUGCCAUUCUUCACAAAUGCUGAUGUGUGCAGCUGAACAGAGCGUUGAGGAAACGUCAGUGAUUUUAUAACUACUUAUCAUGUUGGGAGAUUGUUGUGAUGAUUGCCUGGACUCUCAGAUGUUACACAGGCUGCAUCAUUGGACUGAAAGUGAAUGGCCCAUGUGUUGCCACUGAUGUGAGCCAUUUGCAAGCC
Molecule: non-coding RNA, 595 nt
Filed under: Mus musculus (house mouse)
Lineage: Eukaryota; Metazoa; Chordata; Mammalia; Rodentia; Muridae
Source: RNAcentral